RNAcentral lists this transfer RNA (70 nucleotides) under Marmota monax (woodchuck). RNAcentral describes it as "tRNA.Ala". Lineage: Eukaryota; Metazoa; Chordata; Mammalia; Rodentia; Sciuridae. The record is from RNAcentral.
GGGCUGGGGCUCAGUGGUAGAGCACUCGCCUAGCAUGUGCAAGGAGCUGGGUUCAAGCCUCAGCACCACA